Molecule: ribosomal RNA, 484 nt
Filed under: uncultured bacterium
Lineage: Bacteria
Description: partial 16S ribosomal RNA
Rfam family: Bacterial small subunit ribosomal RNA
Source: RNAcentral
AUUGAACGCUGGCGGCAUGCUUUACACAUGCAAGUCGAACGGCAGCGCGGGCUUCGGCCUGGCGGCGAGUGGCGAACGGGUGAGUAAUGCAUCGGAACGUGCCCAGUAGUGGGGGAUAGCCCGGCGAAAGCCGGAUUAAUACCGCAUACGACCUGAGGGUGAAAGCGGGGGACCGAAAGGCCUCGCGCUAUUGGAGCGGCCGAUGUCGGAUUAGCUAGUUGGUGGGGUAAAGGCUUACCAAGGCGACGAUCCGUAGCUGGUCUGAGAGGACGACCAGCCACACUGGGACUGAGACACGGCCCAGACUCCUACGGGAGGCAGCAGUGGGGAAUUUUGGACAAUGGGGUCAACCCUGAUCCAGCCAUGCCGCGUGCGGGAAGAAGGCCUUCGGGUUGUAAACCGCUUUUGUUCGGGAAGAAAUCCUCUGGGCUAAUACCCCGGGGGGAUGACGGUACCGGAAGAAUAAGCACCGGCUAACUACGUG